RNAcentral lists this ribosomal RNA (460 nucleotides) under uncultured bacterium. RNAcentral's name for it is "partial 16S ribosomal RNA". It matches the Rfam family "Bacterial small subunit ribosomal RNA", at positions 338 to 795 of the family's 1533-position model. The record is from RNAcentral.
CCUACGGGAGGCAGCAGUGAGGAAUAUUGGUCAAUGGGCGCGAGCCUGAACCAGCCAAGUCGCGUGAGGGAUGACGGUCCUACGGAUUGUAAACCUCUUUUGCCGGGGAGCAAGCGUGCGUUCGUGAACGCGCGUCGAGAGUACCCGGAGAAAAAGCAUCGGCUAACUCCGUGCCAGCAGCCGCGGUAAUACGGAGGAUGCGAGCGUUAUCCGGAUUUAUUGGGUUUAAAGGGUGCGUGGGCGGGAUUCCAAGUCAGCGGUAAAAAUGCGGUGCUCAACGCCGUCGAGCCGUUGAGACUGGCGUUCUGGAGUGGGCGAGAGGUAUGCGGAAUGCGUGGUGUAGCGGUGAAAUGCAUAGAUAUUACGCAGAACUCCGAUGGCGAAGGCAGCAUACCGGCGGCCUACUGACGUUGAGGCACGAAAGCGUGGGUAGCGAACAGGAUUAGAUACCCGAGUAGUC